CAUUUAAAUAGAGAACACAUUCCAGGAAAUGUUCACUGAGCGGCAUCAGUGCCCACAGAUCCUGAGCUGAGAUUCUCUAUCACUCCACACACCAGACAUGAAGACUCUCUUGGGGUUACUCAGUGCUGUCCUGUCUCUACAAUGUGUCACUUCACAGAUCUCUAUGGUGGAGUCUGGUCCUGGGAUUGUGAGACCAUCAGAGACUCUGGACAUGACCUGUAAAGUGACUGGAGCCUCCCUGACUGACAGCACUAACAUGUAUUGUGUACACUGGGUCCGACAACCUGCAGGGAAAGGUCUGGAGUGGUUGGGGGCAAUAUGUUAUGAGAAUAGCAAAUAUUACGGUCAGUCUGUCCAGGGACGAUUAACUCUCUCAAGAGACACAAAUAAAGGAGAAGUUUAUUUCAAACUCACUGGAGUGAAACUUGAAGAAUCUGGGAAAUAUUAUUGUGCUAGACAGAAACACAGUAUAACAGUGUAA
Molecule: non-coding RNA, 481 nt
Organism: Hyla sarda
Lineage: Eukaryota; Metazoa; Chordata; Amphibia; Anura; Hylidae
Source: the annotation of a RefSeq genome assembly